CGCAUUGCUCGUUUGCAUUUGAAAUGGCCAGAAAACGGCCUAAAAAUUUGAUAGGGAUUUUUUUUUGGACUUCUUCUAAAAGACCUUAUACUAGUGAAGUUCAUGUGGACUUACAAGUUCGAUGUGAUUCUCACAAACAAUAUAUUUGGGAAUAUCUGUUCUGAUCAAGCAUGUAAAAAUUCGGGAAGCAUUGCCAUCUGCAAGCCCGGGUGAAACGGGGCCUGGAAUAUUCGAACCGAUACAUGGUUCUGCUCCUGACAUUGCCGGUCAGGACAAAGCGAAUCCCCUGGCAGCGGUGUGUAGUGGUGCCGUGCAUUUGAAGUACGGGUUGGGUGAGGAAAGAGCCACGGUAGCCGUCUUGGAUGCUCUAGAGAGAGGAUCUCGCACUAGCAACAUAUUCUCGGCUGGAAUGAUUGUUUGGACUUCGGAUGGGCUACAAAAAAUUAUUGAGCCUUUGCGAUUUAGGCCUAAAUGUUGUGAAGGCCUACUUGGUUGCUGAUGGUGUUCCCUGUGAUGGCGCGUUCAAC
Molecule: long non-coding RNA, 527 nt
Organism: Andrographis paniculata
Lineage: Eukaryota; Viridiplantae; Streptophyta; Magnoliopsida; Lamiales; Acanthaceae
Exons: 5
Source: RefSeq, a predicted model, not a curated record